Molecule: long non-coding RNA, 1419 nt
Filed under: Parus major (Great Tit)
Lineage: Eukaryota; Metazoa; Chordata; Aves; Passeriformes; Paridae
Description: lncRNA (ENSPMJG00000005432.1)
Source: RNAcentral
CACCUGGUGCUUCCUCCCAGGAGGGCUCCAGCCCCAGCCAGGUGUGAUCCUGAGGGUGCUGUGGGCUGCUCCAUCCUGGUGUCCAUCCUGGUGUCCAUCCUGGUGUCCAUCCUGGUGUCCAGUGUCCCGGUGUCCGUCCCGGUGUCCGUCCCGGUGUCCAUCCCGGUGUCCAUCCCGGUGUCCAUCCCCGUGUCCAGGGUCCAUCCCUGGGUCCAUCCCUGGGUCCAUUCCGGUGUCCAUCCUGGUGUCCAUCCCAGUGUUCAUCCUGGUGUCCAGGGUCCAUCCCUGUGUCCAUCCCGGUGUCCGGUGUCCAUCCCGGUGUCCGGUGUCCAUCCCCGUGUCCAAGGUCCAUCCCAGUGUCCAUCCAUCCAUCCCACUGUCCAUCCUGGUGUCCAUCCAGGUGUCCAGUGUCCAUUCCAGUGUCGAUCCCAGUGUCCAUCCCUGGGUCCAGUGUCCAUCCUGGUGUCCAUCCCAGUGUCCGGUGCCCAUCCCUGGGUCCAUCCCGGUGUCCAUCCUGAUGUCCAGUGUCCAUCUUGGUGUCCAUCCUGGUGUCCAUCCCUGUGUCCAGUGUCCAUCCCAGUGUCCAUCCCCGUGUCCAGUGUCCAUCCCGGUGUUCAUCCCAGUUUCCAGUGUCCAUCCCCGUGUCCAGUGUCCAUCCCAGUGUCCAUCUCAGUGUCCAGUGUCCAUCCCGGUGGCCAUCCCGGUGGCCAUCCCCGUGUCCAGUGUCCAUCCCAGUGUCCAGUGUCCAUCCCGGUGUCCAUCCCCGUGUCCAGGGUCCAUCCCAGUGUCCAUCCCAGUGUCCAGUGUCCAUCCCAGUGUCCAUCCCGGUGUCCACCCCCGUGUCCAGGGUCCAUCCCAGUGUCCAUCCCCGUGUCCAGUGUCCAUCCCGGUGUCCAUCCCGGUGUCCAUCCCCAUGUCCAGGGUCCAUCCCAGUGUCCAUCUCAGUGUCCAGUGUCCAUCCCAGUGUCCAUCCCAGUUUCCAUCCCAGUACCUGGCCCCGGAGCCUCGCUGAGCAGGAGAGGGAGCACAAGGCAGCGCCUGCGGUACCUGGUGUUCCUGAUAAAUCCCAAAAUGUCUGGGAAUGGGCUGGGAUGGGGUCCUGCUUCCAGUGCCAGUCGCCAGGACAUUUAUUUCAGAGGUUUAAUCAGGUUUUGGGCAUGUUUCCCUGGAAAAGGGGAUGCUGGAGUUCCUGGAAGGCCCAGGAAGGUUUAUUUAUCCUGGGGAUUUUUUCAGCUGAUACGGCAGUGCCCGAGUUUGGGGGAAAAUUGGGAUUGUUCCCCUUUGUGCAGAGCCCUAAAUCCAUGGAUUGUGGUGAGGGUGGAGCAGACAAAGCCCUGCUGGAGGUUCCCAGAGGGCUCUGGAUCAUCUCACAGAGCUUUAAUUACCAAAUCUUCCCAUAUCCCCUUAAUUAGGCACUAA